This 276-nucleotide ribosomal RNA is filed under the name Sarasinula plebeia. Its description in RNAcentral is "partial 16S ribosomal RNA". It matches the Rfam family "Bacterial large subunit ribosomal RNA", at positions 1928 to 2489 of the family's 2925-position model. Lineage: Eukaryota; Metazoa; Mollusca; Gastropoda; Systellommatophora; Veronicellidae. The record is from RNAcentral.
CGGCCGCAGUACUCUGACUGUGCAAAGGUAGCAUAAUCAAUUGACUUUUAAUUGGAGUCUAGUAUGAAUGGAUUUACGUAAAAGUUCUGUCUCAAUUAAAAUUUUCUAAAAUUUUUUAGAAGGUGAAAAAACUUUCAGUAUUUAAAAGACGAGAAGACCCUAAGAAUUUUAAAAAAAUUAGUCUAUCUUUUUUGCUGGGGCGGCAGUGGAUCAAGGAACAUCCAUAUUAUCGAGUUUUCGUGUUUUAAAUUACCUUAGGGAUAACAGCACAAUUGU